AACGCACCUUGCGCUCCUUGGUAUUCCGAGGAGCAUGCCUGUUUGAGUGUCAUUAAAUUCUCAACCCUCUAGUUUUCUUGCUUGGAGAACUGGUAGGGCUUGGAUUUGGAGGGUUGCUGGCCUCUCUGAGGCUUUGGCUCCUCUUAAAUGUAUUAGCAGAACCUUUGCUGAACCUUUGGUGUGAUAAUUAUCUACAUCAUUACAGGCUGAUGCACCUUGAGGAUCUGCUUCUAACUGUCUUGCUACAAGACAAUUCAUGACAAUUUGACCUCAAAUCAGGUAGGACUACCCGCUGAACUUAA
This 302-nucleotide unclassified non-coding RNA is filed under the name uncultured fungus. Its description in RNAcentral is "sequence contains ITS2". The stretch from base 1 to 52 matches the Rfam family "5.8S ribosomal RNA", at positions 103 to 154 of the family's 154-position model. The record is from RNAcentral. Lineage: Eukaryota; Fungi.